RNAcentral lists this long non-coding RNA (1341 nucleotides) under Sus scrofa (pig). RNAcentral describes it as "lncRNA (ENSSSCG00050014935.1)". Lineage: Eukaryota; Metazoa; Chordata; Mammalia; Artiodactyla; Suidae. The record is from RNAcentral.
GGAAAUAUCACUGGACUAUCACUUUCAGCUGCAACUGAAAAACUGAAAAACCACCCAAACUGGUGGUUGUUUUGGUUGAAUUUUACUCAAGAUGAUCCAACUUAACCUUUGGAGAAAAAGCUUAGGUCAACGAUUAGUCAGCAGCUCGUUUCUGCCAAAUGUGAACUAAAGAACCCAAAGCCGUGUUGGGUUGGAAAGAGCCAGGGCGACCCAGGACGCGAGGGUCCUGCCGAGGUCAGCUCAGGACUCCGGGCGGGUUUUCGCCCGACUCUGCCGACCCCGGCUGCCCACGGCUUAAGCGGGGCGAACUGAUGAGCGAAACUCUCCGUGGGUUGGGGACACCGCCCACCAUUUCCGAAACGCCCCGACAAGAAAGCCUGGCUCGACGGGGCUCCAGAGGAACACGACCGCACGUCGCAGGGAUGCUGGACGUUCCGGACGGGCACUGCUCGCUUCGAUGGAGGUCCCAGAGGAAACCGGGGGGCGGGUUUGCCUGGAAGUCCCUCAGGGUGGAGACAACGGCUUACCUGUCUGGACUCCCUAACGUGCCGCACAUGCCCCGCACCUUGUGGAAGUUCCCAGACGGGGGCGAGGGGGGCGGUGGUCAGAUCCAAGCCGCAGUUGUCACUUACACCCCAGCUGCGGCAACUCUGGAUUCCUAACCCACUGUGCCUGGCCAGAGAUUGAACCUGUCUCUGCAGAGACACCGCCGACCCCGUUGCACCAUGGGGGGGAGCCCCACAUGGUCUCGUUUUGAAUCAAACAUUCACUAAGAAGCAGGCAGCAUCAGGCAUCAAGCCACAGGAAGAGGAUGAGAACACAUGACACCAUGGACCACACGCACGGGCACUUUCCCCAUCGUGUCCCCCGCCCCCCCGGUUCCCACUGGACUCCGACCCGGAAGCUCUUCUCCUGAGUGUUCCUACCCCUCCCCCCCUUCUCCUCCCACUUUUUAAAGUUUUACUGAAGUGCCGCUGGUUUACAGUUGUAAGGAUUCCUGCCCCUUCUUUUCUUCUCUUCUGCUGCUCUGAGGUCAGAGAAAUGGGUUGAAGGAAUUUGCAGCGGGAAAAGCCAGGGGCCCGGUGUCUCAAGCCUGGAUCGCAAACCUCAGAAUCGGCCAGGACCACGGGGCGUGGGCUCCUCUGUCUCCGUCACCCCUUUGCUCCCCUGCCCCCCAUGGGUGAGGGCCUUUGCGCAAGGCCACGCUGUCAUCAGGCCGUAAGAGGAAGAGAAUAUAAGGAGAAGAAUGUGUAUCUGUGUGUGACCGAGGCCCUUCACUGUCCAGCAGGAAGGGGCACAACCUUGUAAAUCAACUAUACUGUAAUAAAAAAUUUAAAGAAA